RNAcentral lists this ribosomal RNA (497 nucleotides) under uncultured bacterium. Its description in RNAcentral is "partial 16S ribosomal RNA". It matches the Rfam family "Bacterial small subunit ribosomal RNA", at positions 28 to 507 of the family's 1533-position model. The record is from RNAcentral.
GAUGAACGCUGGCGGCGUGCCUAAUACAUGCAAGUCGAGCGAACAGACGAGGAGCUUGCUCCUCUGACGUUAGCGGCGGACGGGUGAGUAACACGUGGAUAACCUACCUAUAAGACUGGGAUAACUUCGGGAAACCGGAGCUAAUACCGGAUAAUAUAUUGAACCGCAUGGUUCAAUGGUGAAAGACGGUUUUGCUGUCACUUAUAGAUGGAUCCGCGCCGCAUUAGCUAGUUGGUAAGGUAACGGCUUACCAAGGCAACGCUGCGUAGCCGACCUGAGAGGGUGAUCGGCCACACUGGAACUGAGACACGGUCCAGACUCCUACGGGAGGCAGCAGUAGGGAAUCUUCCGCAAUGGGCGAAAGCCUGACGGAGCAACGCCGCGUGAGUGAUGAAGGUCUUCGGAUCGUAAAACUCUGUUAUUAGGGAAGAACAAAUGUGUAAGUAACUAUGCACGUCUUGACGGUACCUAAUCAGAAAGCCACGGCUAACUACGUG